GGGCCCGUAGGGUAGCUUGGUAUCCUCCAUGCUUGGGGUGCAUGAAACUCCAGUUCAAAUCUGGGCGGGCCCACCA
RNAcentral lists this transfer RNA (76 nucleotides) under Methanobacteriota archaeon. Its description in RNAcentral is "Euryarchaeota archaeon (anaerobic digester metagenome) tRNA-Pro". It matches the Rfam family "tRNA". Rfam says of the family: Transfer RNA (tRNA) molecules are approximately 80 nucleotides in length. Their secondary structure includes four short double-helical elements and three loops (D, anti-codon, and T loops). RNAcentral also lists the same sequence under 2 other names. Lineage: Archaea; Methanobacteriati; Methanobacteriota. The record is from RNAcentral.